Long non-coding RNA from Bradysia coprophila, 258 nucleotides. The record is from RefSeq and is a predicted model, not a curated record. NCBI's taxonomy places the organism in Eukaryota, Metazoa, Arthropoda, Insecta, Diptera, Sciaridae.
AGAUAAGGUACCUUCAACUUAUAAAUCCGAAUUUAUAAGUUAUAAGUAAAUCAGUUAUAAGUUAUAAGUAAGGUGGUUAUAAGUCAUAAGUCAACCAAUUAUAAAGUGAAAGUUAUAAGUUCAUAGGUCAAAAGUAUGAACGUCGAAAGUUAUAGAGAUGGAAAGGUAGUGGAUCAGAUAGAGCAAUUAAACUCUAGGAACCAACCUACAUUAAUAUCAAUAAUCACAAAAAUUUAGAAGACAACCAACAAAAUCAUG